UCGGAGCCUAAAAGGAAACCUAUUUCAUAGAUUAGGAGCAAGGAUCGAACUUUAAAAUGGUGCUAAGCGAUAGUUAGCACUGAACCAAACGAUAGAAAGCUCGGUUUACAUGGACACGAAACUUAGGAUAUCACGGGCCCAGGUGAAAGUUUCGAUAAGUCCGAGAACGUUCCGAUCGUCCCUUUCGCAGGCUCUAAGUGCAAGAAGAGUCUUCCCACUAGCCGCGAACUGUCUCCUGCCUACACAAUGCCUACACGUCUGUGCCUUCCUCUCUCCUCCGUGUCUCUGCAUUACCCGCGUGGACGAUCGAUAUCUUGGCCUACGCGCUCUUCAUCGACAAAGAACCGCUCCUCUCCUCCCCGCGCGGCAGUCCCCGGCGCCAGCCGCGGCAGGAGCGCGCUGUGGAGAGGGAAAGCGCGCGGCUCGAACACGCAGGCGCGGUCUAAUUAAUAUUCCUAAUUUGUCGCUCGCGCUGCCCGGGACAGUGCCGCCGCCGUGCUGCAGGAGGAGCAGCCUCCCGAGAACGCGCGGCGCGACGACGUUAGCGUCGGCGGCGUUCCCGCCGAAAAGAAUGUCCCGCGUCGGCGGCGUGUUUACCAGCAGGCUCCGCGGCAAGCCGACGGUCCGGAUGCGAGAAGCCGCUGCUGCCGCGUCCCGGCGAGAACAUCUGCAGACGGUGGUGCGCCAUCCAGGCGCCGACUACUGAAGGGGCGAGAUCGGGGAAGCGAGAGGAGAGAGAACGAGAGCUCCGGGUUUUGUUCCCGGCGGCUCCCGGAUUCAAAGAUGGCGCUGCGGCUGGCUUGUUUUGCAUCGGGCCGCGGGUCUCGAGCGGCGGCGGCUUCACGGACGGCUCGGAAGCGCGCGCUUGAGCGAGCGCGUGUCGGCGGCAUCUCUGGCGUCGUUCGAAAUCAGUGGUCUUCGUCGUCGCCACCGCUUCGCCGCGCAGCCGCGAAGCUGUAUACCGCUACCGUCCAAGGAAAUUUUCGUGUCGUUGGCGUGAGCUCGCACCAAUGCGUAAUAUUGCUAAAGUCUGCUUGAAGGGAUUCGAUGUCGGCAUCAUCA
Dermacentor albipictus is the source of this 1062-nucleotide non-coding RNA. Lineage: Eukaryota; Metazoa; Arthropoda; Arachnida; Ixodida; Ixodidae. The record is from RefSeq and is a predicted model, not a curated record.